This 472-nucleotide long non-coding RNA is filed under the name Homo sapiens (human). RNAcentral describes it as "HSALNT0054948". The record is from RNAcentral. Lineage: Eukaryota; Metazoa; Chordata; Mammalia; Primates; Hominidae.
ACUAAUAUUCCAGUCAGGCUCAAUGAUAUUAUGUAUGUAAAAUGCUCAGCACAGACUAGAGGGAGUGCAUUUGAAGAGAAGUAGAAGAAAAUUGUAUUUGCUGUGGGGUAGUGGGGAUUGUAAACAAGAGACUGUGUUAGUUCUAAGUUCUCCCUGUCUCAAACCAGCCAGAGUCCAAAGUGCCUCAUCUGUUGGAUGACAGUGCUUGGAAGCCCUGCCAAUGAAAUGGCCACUGCAGAGUGUUUGUCUCCUAAUGCAUGUAGAUGAUCAGCGGGCCACAUAGAAUACGCAAUGGAAAAUGCUGAGCUGUGUCACAGGACUGAACAUACCAGCUGCCAUUCAUAAAACAUGCCACUUAGGAGCAAACAACUUUUCAGAAGAAACAAUAUGACACAAGGGGAGAGUAAAUGGGAUACCGUCUUUCUUCGGAUGAAAACUAUUUCUCUUAUUAAACUCUUUCCACUAAGGCAAG